RNAcentral lists this ribosomal RNA (1263 nucleotides) under Triticum aestivum (bread wheat). RNAcentral describes it as "partial small subunit ribosomal RNA". The record is from RNAcentral. Lineage: Eukaryota; Viridiplantae; Streptophyta; Magnoliopsida; Poales; Poaceae.
AUGGACCCGCUGCUCCGCUCGGAGCUCAUCCGCUACGGCGAGCUCGCGCAGGCCUGCUACGACGCGUUCGACUACGACCUGGCCUCCCGCUACUGCGGCAGCUGCAAGUACCCGCGGCGCGCCUUCUUCGAGCGGCUCGGCAUGCCCGACGCGGCGCGGGGCUACUCCGUGACCCGCUACCUGUACGCCACGUCCAACUUCCGGUUCCCCAACUUCUUCUCCGGGAGGUCCCGCGCCGACGCCAAGCUGUGGAGCCAGCGCGCGAACUGGAUCGGCUACGUGGCCGUGUCCACCGACGAGGAGUCGGCGCGGCUGGGCCGGCGCGACAUCGCCAUCGCGUGGCGCGGCACCAUCACGCGGCUCGAGUGGGUGUCGGACCUCAUGGACUACCUCCGGCCCGUGGCCGACGAGGGCAUCCCGUGCCCGGACCCCGAGGUGAAGGUGGAGUCCGGCUUCGUGGACCUCUACACCGACAAGGACCCCUCCUGCCGCUUCUGCAAGUACUCCGCCCGCGAGCAGGUCCUGGUGGAGGUCCGCAAGCUCGUCGCCCACCACACCGCCCUCGGCGAGGACGUGAGCAUCUCCGUCACCGGCCACAGCCUCGGCAGCUCCCUCGCCAUCCUCAGCGCCUACGACAUCGCCGAGUCCGCCGCCAACCUCUCCAACGGUUCAAAUAGGGCGGCGGUGUGCGUGUACUCCUUCUCGUGGCCGCGGGUGGGGAACGGGCGGUUCAGGCAGCGGUUCGAGGGGGAGCUCGGGGUGAAGGCGCUGUGGGUGACGAACGUGCACGACAACGUGCCACGGAUGGAGGGGAUCUUCCUGAACGUGGGGGUGCCGGAGAUGGUGCGGCGGGUGGCGGAGGGGCUGCGGAUGCCCUGGUGCUACAGCCACGUCGGCGUGGAGCUCGCCCUCGACCACAAGCGCUCGCCGUUCCUCAAGGACACGCUCGACCCCGGCUGCUCCCACAACCUGGAGGCGCACCUGCACCUCCUCGACGGGUACCAUGGCAGCGGGGGGCGGUUCGUGCUGGCGAGCGGGCGCGACCCGGCGCUGGUGAACAAGGCGUCCGACUUCCUCAAGGACCACCACUGCGUGCCACCCUACUGGCGCCAGGACGAGAACAAGGGCAUGGUCCGCGCCUCCGACGGCCGCUGGAUCCAGCCCGACCGCCGUGGCCACCUCCACGACGACCACCACCACGACGGUCACCACGUCGUCGACGGCGACCACCACGGCCACUUCCGCCACUUCCGCCAGCCGUAG